This 458-nucleotide ribosomal RNA is filed under the name uncultured bacterium. RNAcentral describes it as "partial 16S ribosomal RNA". It matches the Rfam family "Bacterial small subunit ribosomal RNA", at positions 338 to 795 of the family's 1533-position model. The record is from RNAcentral.
CCUACGGGGGGCUGCAGUGAGGAAUAUUGGUCAAUGGUCGGAAGGCUGAACCAGCCAAGCCGCGUGAGGGAAUAAGGUACUAUGGGUCGUAAACCUCUUUUGUCAGGGAGCAAAGGCGUGCACGAGUCGACGAAAGGAGAGUACCUGAAGAAAAAGCAUCGGCUAACUCCGGACCAGAAGCCGCGGUAAUCCGGAGGAGGGGAGCGUUAUCCGGAUUUAUUGGGUUUAAGGGGUGCGGAGGCGGUGGGUCAAGUCAGGGGAAAACUUCGGGGGCACAACCCCGUCGGGCCGUAGAAACUGACCCUUGAGUUAGUGAGAAGUAAGCGGAAUGCGUGGUGUAGCGGUGAAAUGCAUAGAUAUCACGCAGAACGCCGAUUGCGAAGGCAGCUUACCGGCGCUCAACUGACGCUGAGGCACGAAAGUGCGGGUAUCGAACAGGAUUAGAUACCCUUGUAGUC